This 462-nucleotide ribosomal RNA is filed under the name Shinkai fontefridae. RNAcentral's name for it is "partial 16S ribosomal RNA". It matches the Rfam family "Archaeal large subunit ribosomal RNA", at positions 1903 to 2670 of the family's 2987-position model. Lineage: Eukaryota; Metazoa; Annelida; Polychaeta; Phyllodocida; Nautiliniellidae. The record is from RNAcentral.
AAACAUUUCCUAUUUUCUUUAAUAUUAGGUAAGCCCUGCCCAGUGAAUAUUCAACGGCCGCGGUAUCCCUGACCGUGCGAAGGUAGCAUAAUCAUUUGCCUCUUAAUUAGUGGCUAGUAUGAAUGGGUAAACACCAGUUAUAGCUUUUUUUAAAAUGUAAACAAAAUUAGAAUUCCAGUGAAAAUACUGGAAAAAACAGAAAGACAAAAAGACCCUAUCGAGCUAUAUUUUUUAACUUAUAUAAUUUGUUGGGGCAACAAAGGAUCAACCCAAACAUCCUUAACUAACUUCCUUUUAUUGACGAAAAAGAAAAAACAAGAAAAGCUACCGUAGGGAUAACAGACUUAUUUUUUCUGAGAGCUCAAAUUGACGAAAAAGAUUAGCACCUCGAUGUUGGCUCAGGAUUACUUAUACGUGCAGCAGCGUAUAAAGUGGGUUUGUUCACCCUUUAAUUUCCUACGU